UAAGGAAUAUUGGUCAAUGGACGAAAGUCUGAACCAGCCAUGCCGCGUGGAGGAUGAAGGUCCUCUGGAUUGUAAACUUCUUUUAUUUGGGACGAAAAAGGGGAAUUCUUUCCCAACUGACGGUACCAGAUGAAUAAGCACCGGCUAACUCCGUGCCAGCAGCCGCGGUAAUACGGAGGGUGCAAGCGUUAUCCGGAUUCACUGGGUUUAAAGGGUGCGUAGGCGGAUAGGUAAGUCCGUGGUGAAAUCCUGCAGCUUAACUGCAGAACUGCCAUGGAUACUAUUUAUCUUGAAUAUCGUGGAGGUUAGCGGAAUAUGUCAUGUAGCGGUGAAAUGCUUAGAUAUGACAUAGAACACCCAUUGCGAAGGCAGCUAACUACGCGAUCAUUGACGCUGAUGCACGAAAGCGUGGGGAUCAAACAG
RNAcentral lists this ribosomal RNA (423 nucleotides) under uncultured bacterium. RNAcentral describes it as "bacterial SSU rRNA". It matches the Rfam family "Bacterial small subunit ribosomal RNA", at positions 355 to 775 of the family's 1533-position model. The record is from RNAcentral.